This 492-nucleotide ribosomal RNA is filed under the name uncultured bacterium. RNAcentral's name for it is "bacterial SSU rRNA". It matches the Rfam family "Bacterial small subunit ribosomal RNA", at positions 57 to 518 of the family's 1533-position model. The record is from RNAcentral.
GCAAGUCGAACGGUCUUUCUAUGGAAGCUGCUUCCACUGGGAAGAGUUGUGGGCGGACGGGUGGAGUAACACGUGGGUAACCUGCCCAUAAGAGGGGGAGUAACAUCCGAAACGGGUGCUAAUACCGCAUAGUUUUCUUGAUCGCAUGGUCGAGAAAGGAAAGACGGCCUUUGUGCUGUCGCUUAUGGAUGGACCCGCGGCGUAUUAGUUAGUUGGUGAGGUAACGGCUCACCAAGACGAUGAUACGUAGCCGACCUGAGAGGGUGAUCGGCCACAUUGGGACUGAGACACGGCCCAAACUCCUACGGGAGGCAGCAGUAGGGAAUCUUCCGCAAUGGACGAAAGUCUGACGGAGCAACGCCGCGUGAGUGAAGAAAAGGGUUUUCGGAUCGUAAAACUCUGUUGUCAGAGAAGAACAAGUCGGAGAGUAACUGCUCCGGCCUUGACGGUAUCUGACCAGAAAGCCACGGCUAACUACGUGCCAGCCGCUGC